This 301-nucleotide ribosomal RNA is filed under the name uncultured bacterium. RNAcentral's name for it is "partial 16S ribosomal RNA". It matches the Rfam family "Bacterial small subunit ribosomal RNA", at positions 509 to 807 of the family's 1533-position model. The record is from RNAcentral.
CAGUCGCCGCGGUAAUACAGAGGGUGCGAGCGUUAAUCGGAUUUACUGGGCGUAAAGCGUGCGUAGGCGGCUUCUUAAGUCGGAUGUGAAAUCCCUGAGCUUAACUUAGGAAUUGCAUUCGAUACUGGGAAGCUAGAGUAUGGGAGAGGAUGGUAGAAUUCCAGGUGUAGCGGUGAAAUGCGUAGAGAUCUGGAGGAAUACCGAUGGCGAAGGCAGCCAUCUGGCCUAAUACUGAUGCUGAGGUACGAAAGCAUGGGGAGCAAACAGGAUUAGAUACCCCAGUAGUCCCUGUCUCUUAUAC